GAUGAAGAACGUAGCGAAAUGCGAUACGUAAUGUGAAUUGCAGAAUUCAGUGAAUCAUCGAAUCUUUGAACGCACAUUGCGCCCCUUGGUAUUCCAUGGGGCAUGCCUGUUCGAGCGUCAUUUGUACCUUCAAGCUCUGCUUGGUGUUGGGUGUUUGUCUCGCCUCUGCGUGUAGACUCGCCUUAAAACAAUUGGCAGCCGGCGUAUUGAUUUCGGAGCGCAGUACAUCUCGCGCUUUGCACUCAUAACGACGACGUCCAAAAGUACAUUUUUACACUCUUGACCUCGGAUCAGGUAGGGAUACCCGCUGAACUUAAGCAUAUCAAUAAGCGGAGGA
This 337-nucleotide unclassified non-coding RNA is filed under the name soil metagenome. RNAcentral describes it as "partial contains 5.8S ribosomal RNA, internal transcribed spacer 2, and large subunit ribosomal RNA". The stretch from base 1 to 120 matches the Rfam family "5.8S ribosomal RNA", at positions 35 to 154 of the family's 154-position model. The record is from RNAcentral.